CCAAACUUGGUCAUUUAGAGGAAGUAAAAGUCGUAACAAGGUCUCCGUUGGUGAACCAGCGGAGGGAUCAUUAUAGAGUUUAUAAAACUCCAAACCCAUGUGAACUUACCAUUGUUGCCUCGGUGGGACCUACCCUGUAGCUAUCCUGGAGCGGCCUACCCUGUAGCGCCUACCCUGGAACGGCUUACCCGGUAGCGUACCACCGGUGGAUUUUUAAACUCUUGUUAAUUAUAGUGAAAUCUGAGCGUCUUAUUUUAAAUAAGUCAAAACUUUCAACAACGGAUCUCUUGGUUCUGGCAUCGAUGAAGAACGCAGC
RNAcentral lists this unclassified non-coding RNA (316 nucleotides) under uncultured fungus. Its description in RNAcentral is "partial contains small subunit ribosomal RNA, internal transcribed spacer 1, and 5.8S ribosomal RNA". The stretch from base 1 to 73 matches the Rfam family "Eukaryotic small subunit ribosomal RNA", at positions 1759 to 1831 of the family's 1831-position model. Lineage: Eukaryota; Fungi. The record is from RNAcentral.